GGUGAGUAACACGUGGGCAAUCUGCCCUUCACUCUGGGACAAGCCCUGGAAACGGGGUCUAAUACCGGAUACUGACCCUCGCAGGCAUCUGCGAGGUUCGAAAGCUCCGGCGGUGAAGGAUGAGCCCGCGGCCUAUCAGCUUGUUGGUGAGGUAAUGGCUCACCAAGGCGACGACGGGUAGCCGGCCUGAGAGGGCGACCGGCCACACUGGGACUGAGACACGGCCCAGACUCCUACGGGAGGCAGCAGUGGGGAAUAUUGCACAAUGGGCGAAAGCCUGAUGCAGCGACGCCGCGUGAGGGAUGACGGCCUUCGGGUUGUAAACCUCUUUCAGCAGGGAAGAAGCGAAAGUGACGGUACCUGCAGAAGAAGCGCCGGCUAACUACGUGCCAGCAGCCGCGGUAAUACGUAGGGCGCAAGCGUUGUCCGGAAUUAUUGGGCGUAAAGAGCUCGUAGGCGGCUUGUCACGUCGGUUGUGAAAGCCCGGGGCUUAACCCCGGGUCUGCAGUCGAUACGGGCAGGCUAGAGUUCGGUAGGGGAGAUCGGAAUUCCUGGUGUAGCGGUGAAAUGCGCAGAUAUC
This 580-nucleotide ribosomal RNA is filed under the name Streptomyces sp. SCAU9001. RNAcentral's name for it is "bacterial SSU rRNA". It matches the Rfam family "Bacterial small subunit ribosomal RNA", at positions 105 to 698 of the family's 1533-position model. The record is from RNAcentral. Lineage: Bacteria; Bacillati; Actinomycetota; Actinomycetes; Kitasatosporales; Streptomycetaceae.